Molecule: microRNA precursor, 95 nt
Filed under: Podarcis lilfordi (Lilford's wall lizard)
Lineage: Eukaryota; Metazoa; Chordata; Lepidosauria; Squamata; Lacertidae
Source: RNAcentral
CCUCCAGAUGUUUUGGGACUACAAUUCCUAUCACCCUGACCACGGGUCCUGUUAGCUAGGGAUGAUGAGAGUUGUAGUCUUAAAACAUCUGGAGG